ACUCCUACGGGAGGCAGCAGUGGGGAAUCUUGCGCAAUGGGGGCAACCCUGACGCAGCGACGCCGCGUGGGUGACGAAGGCCUUCGGGUUGUAAAGCCCUGUGGGGUAGAACGAACUGGCAUCGGGCUAAUAUCCCGGUGUCUUGACGGUACUGCCUUAGCAAGCAUCGGCUAACUCUGUGCCAGCAGCCGCGGUAAU
This 198-nucleotide ribosomal RNA is filed under the name uncultured bacterium. RNAcentral describes it as "partial 16S ribosomal RNA". It matches the Rfam family "Bacterial small subunit ribosomal RNA", at positions 335 to 524 of the family's 1533-position model. The record is from RNAcentral.